GGACGCGGCGCGGCCGACCGGGACCCGGGAGUCCCCCCUCCUCGUCCCGGGGUGGGGGGGGGCGCAGCUCUGGCUGCUCCCGCAGCCGAACCCCCCCGCCGCCCUCCCCUCUAGGCUCCUGCCAAGAGGGGAGGGCGGGGAGGCACGCAGACCCAGAAGUAGGGGAGAAAGUUGCCGGUCUUCUCCGUGCUCCCGAGGGGCUGCGAAGACCAGACAAGUUCCCUGGUUGCAUUUCUGGGGCUGGGGUUUGCGGCUUAAGCGCCCGUUUCCUACCGGAGAUGCAGAUGAAAAGGAGCGCCUCAACACUGGGCAAAGUGACCCUUUGGAGCUUUGAGGAGGUCCUUGGGUUGGAGUCACUUUGGAAGGAGUUAGAAAAGCCAGUGUGGACUGAGAGAUAAGAACGGGAAGCCUAAGCUCAGGGAUUCUGUCUGGCAAGCUUCUUUCCAGACAGGCCAGGGAGAAGGCAGGGGGAGACUUCCAGCGAGCAAGCCUCUCCCCAGAGAUACCCUUUCUGGGAACCUCUUUCAAGCCAUUGUAUUCUCUCCCUCUUUAUCUCUCCCUCCCUUUCUCUUUUCUUUUUUCUCUUUCUCUUUCUGCCUCUCUUUCCCUCUCCCUCUCCGCCCUCCUCCCCUCCCGCCCUUCCCCUCCAUCUCUCCAACCAAUCACUCUUGGAAUCAGAACCAUUAGAUUUCUGUCUUAGCUUGCCCUUCUCACUCACCUCUCUGGAAGUUGAGAGCUACAUUCAGUAGAGGACUGUGGGCGUCUCUGUUGAAGACCAUAUUUGAAGAACCCCGCCGUGUAGGAAUAGCAGUAUGUGAAGCAGAUACUUCCCGGGAUAGUCUGUGAAGUGCUUUUUCAAAGGAGUUAGAAGUAAUAAAUGGCCUUGAAAACAGAUGUGAUGGCACCUAGAAGCACAGAAGCCAUUCUUCAGCUAUGAGAGGCACUGAAGAGAGGCUCCACUAGCUGAAAACUCAUCACGGUGCUCAGGACAGAGGAUGUAAAGUAAACAAUUGGAGAGCAUGCAGCUUUGCCAGACACGAGAGAUGAACUUUUUCCAUCUACAACAUACAGAAGAGGAAGCUGAGACUCCGAGAAGUUUCAUCCCACUCAAAGUCAGCAAAGGGAGGAGGAAGCCGUGCCACAGCCCAACCACAGGGCUCUUUCUAUACCCACAAGUUCGUCAGCUUUAAAUUCUAAUGGAAAUGAUUCUACUGGGCCUGACUGACCCAAUAUUGCUGGAUUCCACAUAUCCACGUGAUGCUGUCCCCUCUGUAUGAGGAUUUAAGUGUGGAAAAUUGUAAUGGAUGCCACAAGAAGAAAAAAAAUGGAAAUGGGAAAGAAUAAGUCAAAGUUCCAACAUUUACUCCCAGACUUCAUCAUGAAGUAAUAAAAUUCUC
This is a long non-coding RNA of Mustela lutreola (European mink), 1397 nucleotides long. RefSeq lists it as uncharacterized. The transcript is spliced from 4 exons. NCBI's taxonomy places the organism in Eukaryota, Metazoa, Chordata, Mammalia, Carnivora, Mustelidae. The record is from RefSeq and is a predicted model, not a curated record.